This 490-nucleotide ribosomal RNA is filed under the name uncultured bacterium. RNAcentral describes it as "partial 16S ribosomal RNA". It matches the Rfam family "Bacterial small subunit ribosomal RNA", at positions 28 to 507 of the family's 1533-position model. The record is from RNAcentral.
GAUGAACGCUAGCUACAGGCUUAACACAUGCAAGUCGCGGGGCAGCAUGGGGGUUGCUUGCAAUCCCCGAUGGCGACCGGCGCACGGGUGAGUAACGCGUAUCCAACCUGCCCUUCACCACGGGAUAACCCGGCGAAAGUCGGACUAAUACCGUAUGUUGUCCAUUGACGGCAUCCGAUUUGGACGAAAGGCUUGGCGGUGAGGGAUGGGGAUGCGUCCGAUUAGCCAGACGGCGGGGUAACGGCCCACCGUGGCUACCAUCGGUAGGGGUUCUGAGAGGAAGGUCCCCCACACUGGAACUGAGACACGGUCCAGACUCCUACGGGAGGCAGCAGUGAGGAAUAUUGGUCAAUGGGCGUAAGCCUGAACCAGCCAAGUAGCGUGCAGGAUGACGGCCCUAUGGGUUGUAAACUGCUUUUAUGCGGGGAUAAAGUGGCCCACGUGUGGGCUUUUGCAGGUACCGCAUGAAUAAGGACCGGCUAAUUCUGUG